This is a long non-coding RNA of Anthonomus grandis grandis, 1195 nucleotides long. RefSeq lists it as uncharacterized. The record is from RefSeq and is a predicted model, not a curated record. Lineage: Eukaryota; Metazoa; Arthropoda; Insecta; Coleoptera; Curculionidae. The transcript is spliced from 2 exons.
CCCGUCUCACGUCCGACCGAUUUUAUAAUCUCUGGUACGAUAUUUUUUGGUUUUGCCGGAAACAUGUCGGGCGGUACAAGUGAACAAAAUAAAAUUAACGACGAACAAUUAUUAGAAUGUGUGAAAAAAUAUAAUGUUUUAUAUGAUUUGUCGCAUGCAAAAUACAUGGACACUAAUUUUAAAAGUAAUAUUUGGAAGGAAAUCGGAAAAGAAAUGAAAACACAAGAUCAACUGUGUAAGACUAGAUGGGGAAAUAUUAGAGACACAUUUAAAAAAUAUUUGAAAAAAAAAACAUUAUAAAAAGUGGACAAAGUCGUAAAGAAACAAAGAGAUACAAAUACGCUGAUCAAUUAAGUUUUUUGAAAAAACAUUUUAAUGAAAGAGAAACGAUAACUAACAUUAAGGAUAUUGAUAACACCCAACAAGAGACUGAAGAAAUAGUGCCUGCAGAUGAAGAAAGUAAUUCUGGUGAUGAGAAAGAACAAAAUGUUUCUGUAAUGGAUGAACGAAAUGAGAAAAAGUCAAAGAGAAGAUUCCUCUGCUUCAACACAAAGGACUGAAAAACUACCUAUUCAAAAACAAACUACUACAUCAAAAAAGAACAUCAGUAAAAGAAAAGUUACAUAUUCUCAGCCUACUGCUUCAGCAAAACUCAUGGACUAUUUAAUAAACAAACGUAAGGAACAAGUUACGGCACCACCAGAUGCAGUUGAUGCCUUCCUAACUGGCAUAACACCAGCCCUAAAAUCUCUUUCGCCUCUAAAUUUUCAUUUUGCCAAAUCAGAAAUAUUUUCGGUUGUACAGAAAUAUGAACUAAAGUCUCUUCAAGAACCAAUUUAUAAUAAUUGUAAUCAACAACAAUCACAUGCUACAACAGCUCCUCCAAUGGUAUCGCCGGCAUCCAGUUACCAAUAUUCUAAUACAUCAACAAGCAAUACAUCGAUGCAAUCACCUGUUUAUACCCAACUGCAAUCUCCACCGCCAAUACAAACUAUUGAUGAUAAUACAGGCUCUUCUCACUUUCAGGACUUGCAGGACUGUUUCCACAGAUUUCAUUAAAAUAUGUAUUUUAUAUUCAAACUAGUAUUAGAUAGUGUUGUAGUGAUUGAGAAAUUUUUUAAUUAUUUCAGUCAGUUUCAAAAAAUACCAUUCGUACGUUUAAAAAUUUUUAAAAAAAUAUUAUUUUAUAAAUUUA